GGUUAAGCGAACAAGCGUACACGGUGGAUGCCCUGGCAGUCAGAGGCGAUGAAGGACGUGCUAAUCUGCGAAAAGCGCCGGUAAGGUGAUAUGAACCGUUAUAACCGGCGAUGUCCGAAUGGGGAAACCCGGUGCACUUCGGUGCAUCAUCGUUAGCUGAAUACAUAGGCUAACGAGGCGAACCGGGGGAACUGAAACAUCUAAGUACCCCGAGGAAAAGAAAUCAACCGAGAUUCCCCCAGUAGCGGCGAGCGAACGGGGAACAGCCCAGAGCCUGAAUCAGCUUGUGUGUCAGUGGAACGGUCUGGAAAGGCCGGCGAUACAGGGUGACAGCCCCGUACACGAAGGCACACAGGCUGUGAGCUCGAUGAGUAGGGCGGGACACGUGAUAUCCUGUCUGAAGAUGGGGGGACCAUCCUCCAAGGCUAAAUACUCCUGACUGACCGAUAGUGAACCAGUACCGUGAGGGAAAGGCGAAAAGAACCCCGGCGAGGGGAGUGAAACAGAACCUGAAACCGUGUACGUACAAGCAGUGGGAGCCUUCGUAAGAGGGUGACUGCGUACCUUUUGUAUAAUGGGUCAGCGACUUAUAUUCUGUAGCAAGGUUAACCGUAUAGGGGAGCCGAAGGGAAACCGAGUCUUAACCGGGCGUUAAGUUGCAGGGUAUAGACCCGAAACCCGGUGAUCUAGCCAUGGGCAGGUUGAAGGUUGGGUAACACUAACUGGAGGACCGAACCGACUAAUGUUGAAAAAUUAGCGGAUGACCUGUGGCUGGGGGUGAAAGGCCAAUCAAACCGGGAGAUAGCUGGUUCUCCCCGAAAGCUAUUUAGGUAGCGCCUCGUGAACUCAUCUCCGGGGGUAGAGCACUGUUUCGGCUAGGGGCCAUCCCGGCUUACCAACCCGAUGCAAACUGCGAAUACCGGAGAAUGUUAUCACGGGAGACACACGGCGGGUGCUAACGUCCGUCGUGAAGAGGGAAACAACCCAGACCGCCAGCUAAGGUCCCAAAGUCAUGGUUAAGUGGGAAACGAUGUGGGAAGGCCCAGACAGCCAGGAUGUUGGCUUAGAAGCAGCCAUCAUUUAAAGAAAGCGUAAUAGCUCACUGGUCGAGUCGGCCUGCGCGGAAGAUGUAACGGGGCUAAACCAUGCACCGAAGCUGCGGCAGCGACGCUUAUGCGUUGUUGGGUAGGGGAGCGUUCUGUAAGCCUGCGAAGGUGUGCUGUGAGGCAUGCUGGAGGUAUCAGAAGUGCGAAUGCUGACAUAAGUAACGAUAAAGCGGGUGAAAAGCCCGCUCGCCGGAAGACCAAGGGUUCCUGUCCAACGUUAAUCGGGGCAGGGUGAGUCGACCCCUAAGGCGAGGCCGAAAGGCGUAGUCGAUGGGAAACAGGUUAAUAUUCCUGUACUUGGUGUUACUGCGAAGGGGGGACGGAGAAGGCUAUGUCGGCCGGGCGACGGUUGUCCCGGUUUAAGCGUGUAGGCUGACUUUCCAGGCAAAUCCGGAAAGUUAAGGCUGAGGCGUGAUGACGAGGCACCACGGUGCUGAAGUGACAAAUGCCCUGCUUCCAGGAAAAGCCUCUAAGCAUCAGGUAACAUCAAAUCGUACCCCAAACCGACACAGGUGGUCAGGUAGAGAAUACCAAGGCGCUUGAGAGAACUCGGGUGAAGGAACUAGGCAAAAUGGUGCCGUAACUUCGGGAGAAGGCACGCUGACAUGUAGGUGAAGCCCCUGCGGGUGGAGCUGAAGUCAGUCGAAGAUACCAGCUGGCUGCAACUGUUUAUUAAAAACACAGCACUGUGCAAACACGAAAGUGGACGUAUACGGUGUGACGCCUGCCCGGUGCCGGAAGGUUAAUUGAUGGGGUUAUCGCAAGAGAAGCUCCUGAUCGAAGCCCCGGUAAACGGCGGCCGUAACUAUAACGGUCCUAAGGUAGCGAAAUUCCUUGUCGGGUAAGUUCCGACCUGCACGAAUGGCGUAAUGAUGGCCAGGCUGUCUCCACCCGAGACUCAGUGAAAUUGAACUCGCUGUGAAGAUGCAGUGUACCCGCGGCAAGACGGAAAGACCCCGUGAACCUUUACUACAGCUUGACACUGAACAUUGAGCCUUGAUGUGUAGGAUAGGUGGGAGGCUUUGAAGCGUGGACGCCAGUCUGCGUGGAGCCGACCUUGAAAUACCACCCUUUAAUGUUUGAUGUUCUAACCUGGCGCCAUAAUCUGGCGUGGGGACAGUGUCUGGUGGGUAGUUUGACUGGGGCGGUCUCCUCCCAAAGUGUAACGGAGGAGCACGAAGGUCAGCUAAUCCUGGUCGGACAUCAGGAGGUUAGUGCAAUGGCAUAAGCUGGCUUGACUGCGAGAGUGACGGCUCGAGCAGGUGCGAAAGCAGGUCAUAGUGAUCCGGUGGUUCUGUAUGGAAGGGCCAUCGCUCAACGGAUAAAAGGUACUCCGGGGAUAACAGGCUGAUACCGCCCAAGAGUUCAUAUCGACGGCGGUGUUUGGCACCUCGAUGUCGGCUCAUCACAUCCUGGGGCUGAAGUAGGUCCCAAGGGUAUGGCUGUUCGCCAUUUAAAGUGGUACGCGAGCUGGGUUUAGAACGUCGUGAGACAGUUCGGUCCCUAUCUGCCGUGGGCGCUGGAGAAUUGAGGGGGGCUGCUCCCAGUACGAGAGGACCGGAGUGGACGCAUCACUGGUGUUCGGGUUGUCAUGCCAAUGGCACUGCCCGGUAGCUAAAUGCGGAAGAGAUAAGUGCUGAAAGCAUCUAAGCACGAAACUUGCCCCGAGAUGAGUUCUCCCUGAGACUAUAAGUCUCCUGAAGGAACGUUGAAGACGACGACGUUGAUAGGCCGGGUGUGUAAGCGCAGCGAUGCGUUGAGCUAACCGGUACUAAUGAACCGUGAGGCUUAACCUU
RNAcentral lists this ribosomal RNA (2902 nucleotides) under Cronobacter sakazakii. RNAcentral describes it as "23S ribosomal RNA". It matches the Rfam family "Bacterial large subunit ribosomal RNA". Lineage: Bacteria; Pseudomonadati; Pseudomonadota; Gammaproteobacteria; Enterobacterales; Enterobacteriaceae. The record is from RNAcentral.